This 468-nucleotide ribosomal RNA is filed under the name uncultured bacterium. Its description in RNAcentral is "partial 16S ribosomal RNA". It matches the Rfam family "Bacterial small subunit ribosomal RNA", at positions 28 to 507 of the family's 1533-position model. The record is from RNAcentral.
GACGAACGCUGGCGGCGUGCCUAACACAUGCAAGUCGAACGGAAAGGCCCUGCGUUUGUGGGGUGCUCGAGUGGCGAACGGGUGAGUAACACGUGAGUAACCUGCCCUUGACUUUGGGAUAACUUCAGGAAACUGGGGCUAAUACCGGAUAGGAGCUCCUGCUGCAUGGUGGGGGUUGGAAAGUUUCGGCGGUUGGGGAUGGACGCGCGGCUUAUCAGCUUGUUGGUGGGGUAGUGGCUUACCAAGGCUUUGACGGGUAGCCGGCCUGGGAGGGUGACCGGCGACAUUGGGACUGAGGUACGGACCAGACUCCUACGGGGGGCAGCAGUGGGGAAUAUUACACAAUGGGCGGAAGCCUGAUGCAGCGACGCCGCGGGCGGGAUGACGGCCUUCGGGUUAUAAACCGCUUUCGCCUGUGACGAAGCGUGAGUGACGGUAAUGGAUAAAGAAGCACCGGCUAACUACGUG